UACGUAGGUGGCAAGCGUUAUCCGGAAUGACUGGGCGUAAAGGGUGCGUAGGUGGUAUGACAAGUUGGUAGCGUAAUCCCGGUGCUUAACUCCGGAUCUACUACCAAAACUGUUUUACUUGAGUGCAGGAGGGGUAAGUGGAAUUCCUAGUGUAGCGGUGGAAUGCGUAGAUAUUAGGAAGAACACCGGUGGCGAAGGCGACUUACUGGACUGUAACUGACACUGAGGCACGAAAGCAUGGGGAGCAAAC
Molecule: ribosomal RNA, 250 nt
Filed under: uncultured bacterium
Lineage: Bacteria
Description: partial 16S ribosomal RNA
Rfam family: Bacterial small subunit ribosomal RNA
Source: RNAcentral